This 440-nucleotide ribosomal RNA is filed under the name uncultured bacterium. RNAcentral describes it as "partial 16S ribosomal RNA". It matches the Rfam family "Bacterial small subunit ribosomal RNA", at positions 338 to 795 of the family's 1533-position model. The record is from RNAcentral.
CCUACGGGUGGCAGCAGUGGGGAAUAUUGCACAAUGGGGGAAACCCUGAUGCAGCGACGCCGCGUGAGUGAAGAAGUAAUUCGUUACGUAAAGCUCUAUCAGCAGGGAAGAAAAUGACGGUACCUGAGUAAGAAGCCCUGGCUAACUACGUGCCAGCAGCCGCGGUAAUACGAAGGGGGCAAGCGUUAUCCGGAUUUACUGGGUGUAAAGGGAGCGUAGUCGGUUCGACAAGUCUGGCGUGAAAUGCCGCGGCUUAACUGGGGAACUGCUUUGGAAACUGGCGAACUAGAGUGCGGGAGGGGUAAGCGGAAUUCCUGGUGUAGCGGUGAAAUGCGUAGAUAUUAGGAAGAACACCGGUGGCGAAGGCGGCUUACUGGACCGUAACUGACGUUGAGGCUCGAAAGCGUGGGGAGCAAACAGGAUUAGAUACCCUAGUAGUC